GAACGCCUGGCGGCGUGCCUAACACAUGCAAGUCGAACGGAGAAUUUCGAAGAGUUUACUCAGAGAGAUUUUUAGUGGCGGACGGGUGAGUAACGCGUGGGUAACCUACCCAUAAAACCGGGACAACCCUUGGAAACGAGGGCUAAUACCGGAUAAUCUUGAGAGUUGGCAUCAACACUUAAGGAAGGGUGGCCUCUGAAUAUGCUACCGAUUAUGGAUGGACCCGCGUCUGAUUAGCUAGUUGGUGGGGUAAAGGCCUACCAAGGCGACGAUCAGUAGCCGGCCUGAGAGGGUGAACGGCCACACUGGGACUGAGACACGGCCCAGACUCCUACGGGAGGCAGCAGUGGGAAUCUUCCGCAAUGGACGAAAGUCUGACGGAGCAACGCCGCGUGUAUGAUGAAGGUCUUCGGAUUGUAAAGUACUGUCUUUGGGGAAGAACGGUCGAUUUGAGAAUAUCGAGUUGACAUGACGGUACCCAAGGAGGAAGCCCCGGCUAACUACGUGCCAGCAGCCGCGGUAAUAC
RNAcentral lists this ribosomal RNA (526 nucleotides) under uncultured Desulfosporosinus sp. RNAcentral describes it as "bacterial SSU rRNA". It matches the Rfam family "Bacterial small subunit ribosomal RNA", at positions 36 to 526 of the family's 1533-position model. The record is from RNAcentral. Lineage: Bacteria; Bacillati; Bacillota; Clostridia; Eubacteriales; Desulfitobacteriaceae.